RNAcentral lists this long non-coding RNA (1671 nucleotides) under Theobroma cacao (cacao). Its description in RNAcentral is "long non-coding RNA (TCAC_LNC001386)". The record is from RNAcentral. Lineage: Eukaryota; Viridiplantae; Streptophyta; Magnoliopsida; Malvales; Malvaceae.
UUUAAUUUAAUUUACAAUAACAAGUGGGCCCUCCCCCGAAUAAACAAAAGUAAAGAGGACUGUGAACCUACAGUUUGGAAAAUGCAAUUCUAACGGUAGUCCUCGAUGAGAUCAGCUAUUUACAGCCUAUUCUGAACCUAAAAUUGGUGAAAAGGAGAGUGGUGAGAUUUUAUAAUCCCAGUGAGUAAACAAACAUCAUUCAAAAGAUCUAAAGUCGAGUAAAAAGAGACUAUUAAAACAUUUCAUCUAAAUAUGUUUUUCAUAACAUAAAUACUCAUUUCAUUUAAAUAAUCAACAUGGCUUAUGAGUAUUUUAAAAGCUUGACUCCUACCAAAAUCAUUCUCGAGGAUACCUUGGCCGAGACAUCUAACCGAGUCCGUCAAGGCUGUUAAAAAUUUCGUAUACACAUAAACAAAUUAUUGUUUGAAAAACACAGCCGUUCCUUGGCGUUAGAGGAGUUCAUCAUCACGAGGUGGUUCGGCAUGACGUGAACUCUAACCAUACCUCAGGAGAUACCCUACGAGCCUCUCUGACCGAGGUACAUAUGUAUAUCCGGAUUUUGUGCCCCUCUAAUAGGCUGGUCCACAGAAUCCACCUACUACAGCAAGCUAAACCCACCAUACAAUAAAAUUUUGACAGCAUGACAGGGCUAAUAUUUUACUACCCAGCCUGCAAGGGUAAAAUAAAAUAAUUCAUAAAACACAGCCUAGCCAGUCAUGCCAACACAAUAACAAUAUAAUAUAAGUCAUCAAUUUCCAAUCAUAAAUUUACAACAUACCGGUGGUCUCCAAUUACUCUAUUUUCAAAAUCGUUAUUUCGUUUCAAGACAAUUUAUAAAAUCUUUUCAUUUAAACACAUUUUUGUUUAUAAAACCUUAAAUUUGCCAUUUAACUCAUUUUCAUAAAAUUUCACCAAAAUCGAGUUGAAACAUAUUUUAGAUAAUUAAAAUGAUGAUAAGGUUACUCAUUAUGUCUAGAGUGCAGAUUCUCGAAAUACUCAGACUACUGGUCCUCGGGUGUAAUUCCCUUGCUUUUAUCGGAGGACUCACCACCUUGACAUAGUACAAAAUCGAAAAAUUCACCACAUUGGUACUAAAUUAAAAUUAAACUAAUUUAGACUACUAAUGCAUGAUAUGGAAUGCAAAAAUGCACUGGUAACUAUCUAAAUCCGGUAUUGGCCUAAUUCGUCUUAUCACCUGAUUAAAUUACUAACGCGUCCAAUUUAAUCCCAAAUUACUCCAUUUCUUUUCUAAAACCUCAAUUCACCAAACAUUAUUCAAAUAACACCAAUUUCAGCAUCAAAACCUUCCCAUUUCUUCAUGAAAAAAUUUGACCAUUACAGUGCACUGACACCGUGAUUUUUCCUACUUAAUUUUCUCACCAUUAUUCAUCAUUUUCUAAGCCAUUUCUCUUGAAAUAAUAACAAUCCAUCUCCCACACAUAUCAAGGAAGAUUCGGCCAAUGAAGAUUCAUGGAGAAAAUGGAUUCUUUUNCAUGAAUUCAUCAUGAAAACAUGUAAUUUAACCAUGAAAAAUAAGGAGAAAUGCUUAAGGAAAAUAGAUUUCAAGUUUAAAUUGAAAAAUCCUACCUUUUUCACUUGUUUUCCUUGAUUUUCCACACUUUUUCUCUUGAAAUCCUCCACCUAGGUUUUGUUCUUGUUUUUCCUUUCUUU